Molecule: small RNA, 27 nt
Filed under: Bombyx mori (domestic silkworm)
Lineage: Eukaryota; Metazoa; Arthropoda; Insecta; Lepidoptera; Bombycidae
Description: ovarian small RNA-23154
Source: RNAcentral
UAGUUCUUUUCUUCGCCCGCUAGGAGG